RNAcentral lists this long non-coding RNA (2382 nucleotides) under Musa acuminata (dwarf banana). RNAcentral describes it as "long non-coding RNA (MACU_LNC004724)". Lineage: Eukaryota; Viridiplantae; Streptophyta; Magnoliopsida; Zingiberales; Musaceae. The record is from RNAcentral.
CCGGUUAACCGGCCGUAUAACACGUCCGAUGUCAAACCCGGUUCACAAUUUUUUUCAGGUCGGACCCACCGAUCCGAUCUGUUCCGUGACCACAUGUGGCCCCAUUUUUUAUGCCAAAAAUGUCACGUCUAUCUAAUGACAUCGGAUGGUGACCACGCAUUAAUUGAAGCAUGGGGACGAUCCUCUCUAACCCACCCCGAGUUCCCGGAGGAGGAGACGGGUCCGGCCGGUCAUGUUAACCUAAUUCGUGCAAGCUUGCUUGGCCAAUUUUUGUGCUCCGUGGACCCUCUUCCGGCCGUCACGCACAUCCCUGAUAUGCUUCUUAUGCUGCAUCAACCUAACCACAGGCAGUAGGCUGGAUCUCCGCCGAGGAUGUUGAUCCCAUCUGCCGACCAUCUCCGGCCGUAUCGCGUCUCCGAUGCACGCGUAUGCGUCUCGCCCGCGUUGCACGCCACGGCCAUAAAGUCGUGCCGGUCUCGGAGAUCCCCGCAAAGAUUUCUUCUCGUCCCUUCGAUAUUACCCGUCCCCCCUUCAUUUAACGCGGAAUCAGAGGCAAGCUUUUGACUGCAUCUCCCCCUCCCCCUCUCCGUCUUCGUUGGAAUACUUCGAUCCGGAAAUACAUGAUGAUGCCUUUGGUUUAAUUGCAUGUCUAUCACCUACUCAUCUUGAGUUGUAUCAUAAUCAUCAGGCAGAGGAUAGAGAUGGAAGCGGGCUAAGUGAAUCCGUAGAAGACAGCCGGAGAGCUUCAUUUUUGUAUUCAUUUGCUUAAAUCAUUUCCUCGUCCAUAAAUACCCAAUUAAACCAAUCGGUAGUGCUGCUUGGAACGAUCUGAAAUCAUUGACCUUGUUUUCCGUUCUUGCAUGUCGUACGUGCAUGGCCGCUCGUCCUUGAAGUUCUUCAGUCUUCUUCCUCCUCCCCUCCUACCAUUCAUGUUGAAAUAAGAUGAAUGAUGCUUAUGACGCAGGCCUCUUCUUCGGAGACAACAAAUGGUAUCGUAGAUCAUCAAAGCCGAAGUCCCAACGGCUACACAUCUGAUGGCGACCGGUCGAGGCCCUCGUAAUCUUUGUAGCCGCAUUCAAGGCCAUGGGGGCCGCCAUGGUUGGGACAUUCAUACAUGCACCAUUCCCCGUGUUCAUCAAUGCAACCCGCCCUCUUUAAGCUGGGUAUCAGAUGGGCGUCUGAAUCUGAAUCACCUCUGUCACUGCUUGCAGGCCAAGAUUCUCUCCCUCCUCUCUCUUUCAUACAUCUUUCGUGGUGCCAUUGAAUGAGUCUCACUGGAGCUUUCGCUGAAGCCCUCGAAAGGGAGGUAUCAUCAGUACUGAAGCUGCCAUAUACGGGCACCAUUAUUUUAUGUCGACACACACACACAUACAAUGAUGCUUUAAGUCUCUUGUGAGUUAUAUGCAUAUCUGCGGCCUUCCAUGUGUGAUCUUUGGAGGGCCGCCAAAUCAGAUUGAGACAGCCAGGCAUUUAUCGCUUGCCUGAUGAUUUCUUUUCGAAACAUAUCUACCAUAGUAUUCUUCUGUUGCAAUUAUUAUGAUGUCUGGCUUUCUGCUUUGCCCUUCCACUGGUAGGCUUAAGUUUGGUUGCUAAAACAAAGUAGGAAUCAUAUCAUUGGAAUUUGUUGGAAGUUUCCUGCAUUAAAAUGACCACACAAGGGCUCGUGAUGCAGCUGUCAGAAUACCAUUUAGCAGCAUUUAUCACCCAAGCAUGGCGAGCCGAUUCGAUGCCACCUCCAUGGAGCUUGAUAAGAUCAAAUGGAUGUCUCCACAGCCAAUCCCUCGUUUUCCUCUACAGAGAUAUCGAUGCGAAAGCAUGACUUUGUUUUGUGUUCACCGGCCGUUGGAUGCGGUAAAUGUGACAGUAAAUGUGGAGCGGCUGACAGCUUUAGGAACAUAACGAGGCAGAAGACGGCUGGUCACUAAAUGAGGGGGCGAUUGCGUCUCCUCCUCCUAUUUAUUACAUUUAGCAUGGCACUGUGUCUUUGUGGUGAUCCCAUUCAAGCCUUCUGACAGCGACUGUCAUCGUUAUCUUGCGCUGCUCUCACAAGCAGUGGAAAUCCUUUUAGUCGAUGUCAUUCCGUGCCAAAGGGAAAUUAAAUGGUAAGGCAACACUUGAUUGCACAACUUUUGUGAUUUAUGCUUUGUUGAUUGCUUUUGGAUUUACUUACUGGCAGUACUGCUCAUUAUUAAUCUUAAUAAAUACUGUGCACCCCUCGGGGAAGGCUAAAAGACUGAUGAUGUGUGUCGUAAUUCUAACAUUUACAUGCACAAUGCACAGUUGCAAUUUGCAGCUUAGCAUUUCAUAGAUUGCACCUUAGCAGUACUACUCGGUGAACCACCUGAACGAUGUGACGUCGGUGUGCUAUCUACAAAACAUGGA